UACGUAGGGAGCGAGCGUUGUCCGGAAUUACUGGGCGUAAAGGGUGCGUAGGCGGCAAUGCAAGUCAGAUGUGAAAUCCCCGGGCUUAACUCGGGGGGUGCAUUUGAAACUGCAUUGCUUGAGUGCAGGAGAGGAAAGCGGAAUUCCUAGUGUAGCGGUGAAAUGCGUAGAUAUUAGGAAGAACACCAGUGGCGAAGGCGGCUUUCUGGACUGUAACUGACGCUGAGGCACGAAAGCGUGGGGAGCAAACAGGG
This 254-nucleotide ribosomal RNA is filed under the name uncultured bacterium. RNAcentral describes it as "partial 16S ribosomal RNA". It matches the Rfam family "Bacterial small subunit ribosomal RNA", at positions 524 to 777 of the family's 1533-position model. The record is from RNAcentral.